AGUGAACGCUGGCGGUAGGCCUAACACAUGCAAGUCGAACGGCAGCACAGUAAGAGCUUGCUCUUACGGGUGGCGAGUGGCGGACGGGUGAGGAAUACAUCGGAAUCUACUUUUUCGUGGGGGAUAACGUAGGGAAACUUACGCUAAUACCGCAUACGACCUACGGGUGAAAGCAGGGGAUCUUCGGACCUUGCGCGAUUGAAUGAGCCGAUGUCGGAUUAGCUAGUUGGCGGGGUAAAGGCCCACCCAGGCGACGAUCCGUAGCUGGUCUGAGAGGAUGAUCAGCCACACUGGAACUGAGACACGGUCCAGACUCCUACGGGAGGCAGCAGUGGGGAAUAUUGGACAAUGGGCGCAAGCCUGGUCCAGCCAUACCGCGUGUGUGAAGGAGGCCUUCGGGUUGUAAAGCCCUUUUGUUGGGAAAGAAAAGCAGCAGGUUAAUACCCCGCUGUUCUGACGGUACCCAAAGAAUAAGCACCGGCUAACUUCGUG
This 492-nucleotide ribosomal RNA is filed under the name uncultured bacterium. RNAcentral's name for it is "partial 16S ribosomal RNA". It matches the Rfam family "Bacterial small subunit ribosomal RNA", at positions 29 to 507 of the family's 1533-position model. The record is from RNAcentral.